GACGUAGGGCGCGAGCGUUGUCCGGAUUUAUUGGGCGUAAAGAGCUCGUAGGCGGUGUGUCGCGUCGGCCGUGAAAACCUGCAGCUCAACUGUGGGCUUGCGGUCGAUACGGGCAUCACUGGAGUUCGGCAGGGGAGACUGGAAUUCCUGGUGUAGCGGUGAAAUGCGCAGAUAUCAGGAGGAACACCGGUGGCGAAGGCGGGUCUCUGGGCCGAUACUGACGCUGAGGAGCGAAAGCGUGGGGAGCAAACAGG
This 254-nucleotide ribosomal RNA is filed under the name uncultured bacterium. RNAcentral describes it as "partial 16S ribosomal RNA". It matches the Rfam family "Bacterial small subunit ribosomal RNA", at positions 524 to 776 of the family's 1533-position model. The record is from RNAcentral.